Molecule: transfer RNA, 64 nt
Filed under: Arachnobas tricolor
Lineage: Eukaryota; Metazoa; Arthropoda; Insecta; Coleoptera; Curculionidae
Description: tRNA-Pro
Rfam family: tRNA
About the family: Transfer RNA (tRNA) molecules are approximately 80 nucleotides in length. Their secondary structure includes four short double-helical elements and three loops (D, anti-codon, and T loops). Further hydrogen bonds mediate the characteristic L-shaped molecular structure. tRNAs have two regions of fundamental functional importance: the anti-codon, which is responsible for specific mRNA codon recognition, and the 3' end, to which the tRNAs corresponding amino acid is attached (by aminoacyl-tRNA synthetases). tRNAs cope with the degeneracy of the genetic code in two manners: having more than one tRNA (with a specific anti-codon) for a particular amino acid; and 'wobble' base-pairing, i.e. permitting non-standard base-pairing at the 3rd anti-codon position.
Source: RNAcentral
CAGGAAAUAGUUUAAUAAAAAUAUUAAUUUUGGAGAUUAAAGAUAUGGGUUUCUUUUUUCCUGA